Molecule: ribosomal RNA, 253 nt
Filed under: uncultured bacterium
Lineage: Bacteria
Description: partial 16S ribosomal RNA
Rfam family: Bacterial small subunit ribosomal RNA
Source: RNAcentral
UACGUAGGGGGCGAGCGUUGUCCGGAGUUACUGGGCGUAAAGCGCUUGUAGGCGGUUCACCAAGUUUGGGGUGACAGUUGCCGACUUAAUCGGCAAAGUGCCUCAAAGACUGGCGGACUUGAGGGCCGCAGAGGGACGUGGAACUCCAGGUGUAGUGGUGAAAUGCGUAGAUAUCUGGAAGAACACCAAAGGCGAAGGCAGUGUCCUGGGUGGUCGCUGACGCUGAGAGGCGAAAGCCUGGGGAGCGAACGGG